This 211-nucleotide ribosomal RNA is filed under the name uncultured bacterium. Its description in RNAcentral is "partial 16S ribosomal RNA". It matches the Rfam family "Bacterial small subunit ribosomal RNA", at positions 524 to 733 of the family's 1533-position model. The record is from RNAcentral.
UACAGAGGGGGCCAGCGUUAUUCGGAAUUAUUGGGCGUAAAGCGCGCGUAGGCGGCUUUGCAAGUCGGGUGUGAAAUCCCCAGGCUUACCUGGGAACUGCAUUCGAGACUGCAUUGCUAGAGUAUGGGAGAGGGAAGUGGAAUUUCCGGUGUAGCGGUGAAAUGCGUAGACUAUCGGAAGGAACAUCAGUGGCGAAACGCGACUUCCUGGA